UCUUCAUCCCUCGUACUAUCUCACCGGUCAGAGCGUCGAGAGAUCAUGCGAAAUGAAGAGA
This 61-nucleotide microRNA precursor is filed under the name Pristionchus pacificus. RNAcentral's name for it is "mir-8364 microRNA precursor family". It matches the Rfam family "mir-8364 microRNA precursor family". The record is from Rfam by way of RNAcentral. Lineage: Eukaryota; Metazoa; Nematoda; Chromadorea; Rhabditida; Neodiplogasteridae.